Molecule: long non-coding RNA, 273 nt
Filed under: Prunus persica (peach)
Lineage: Eukaryota; Viridiplantae; Streptophyta; Magnoliopsida; Rosales; Rosaceae
Description: long non-coding RNA (PPER_LNC005474)
Source: RNAcentral
AGAGAACUAGAGAAUCCAAGGUAGAUAUUAAAAGCAUGUCUUAGGUUAGCUGAGUUUUCAUUUCAAAUCAUUUUGCUAAAAAAACAACCAUUGAGGAGAAGCAAGCAGUGUAAAGUGGGGGUGUGUCUAUAAGAAAUACCUUCCAGAAGUUUCCAUGGUACAUCAGAUGAACAAAAAAAGUAAGAAACUCAAACAAAAAGUAGGAAAUUCUUACUUGAGUUGAGCCAAUGUGGAAAUGGGGCAGGCAGCUGAGCCUGAGAGCUAGGACUCCAU